UAGGGAAUCUUCCGCAAUGGGCGAAAGCCUGACGGAGCAACGCCGCGUGAGUGAUGAAGGUCUUCGGAUCGUAAAACUCUGUUAUUAGGGAAGAACAAAUGUGUAAGUAACUAUGCACGUCUUGACGGUACCUAAUCAGAAAGCCAGGGCUAACUACGUGCCAGCAGCCGCGGUAAUACGUAGGUGGCAAGCGUUAUCCGGAAUUAUUGGGCGUAAAGCGCGCGUAGGCGGUUUUUUAAGUCUGAUGUGAAAGCCCACGGCUCAACCGUGGAGGGUCAUUGGAAACUGGAAAACUUGAGUGCAGAAGAGGAAAGUGGAAUUCCAUGUGUAGCGGUGAAAUGCGCAGAGAUAUGGAGGAACACCAGUGGCGAAGGCGACUUUCUGGUCUGUAACUGACGCUGAUGUGCGAAAGCGUGGGGAUCAAACAGG
RNAcentral lists this ribosomal RNA (429 nucleotides) under Acidobacteriota bacterium. Its description in RNAcentral is "Acidobacteria bacterium partial 16S ribosomal RNA". It matches the Rfam family "Bacterial small subunit ribosomal RNA", at positions 355 to 776 of the family's 1533-position model. The record is from RNAcentral. Lineage: Bacteria; Pseudomonadati; Acidobacteriota.